This 448-nucleotide ribosomal RNA is filed under the name uncultured bacterium. RNAcentral's name for it is "bacterial SSU rRNA". It matches the Rfam family "Bacterial small subunit ribosomal RNA", at positions 30 to 524 of the family's 1533-position model. The record is from RNAcentral.
UGAACGCUGGCGGCAGGCUUAACACAUNNAAGUCGAGCCGCACCUUCGGGUGAGCGGCUGGACGGGUGAGUAACGCGUGGGAAUAUGCCCUAAGGUACGGAAUAGCCUCUGGAAACGGAGAGUAAUACCGUAUGUGCCCUUCGGGGGAAAGAUUUAUCGCCUUAGGAUUAGCCCGCGUUGGAUUAGGUAGUUGGUGGGGUAAUGGCCUACCAAGCCGACGAUCCAUAGCUGGUUUGAGAGGAUGAUCAGCCACACUGGGACUGAGACACGGCCCAGACUCCUACGGGAGGCAGCAGUGGGGAAUCUUGGACAAUGGGGGAAACCCUGAUCCANCCAUGCCGCGUGAGUGACGAAGGCCCUAGGGUCGUAAAGCUCUUUCGCUGGGGAAGAUAAUGACGGUACCCAGUAAAGAAACCCCGGCUAACUCCGUGCCAGCAGCCGCGGUAAU